UGACGGUACCUGACUAAGAAGCACCGGCUAACUACGUGCCAGCAGCCGCGGUAAUACGUAGGUGGCGAGCGUUAUCCGGAAUGAUUGGGCGUAAAGGGUGCGUAGGUGGCAGAACAAGUCUGGAGUAAAAGGUAUGGGCUCAACCCGUACUGGCUCUGGAAACUGUUCAGCUAGAGAACAGAAGAGGACGGCGGAACUCCAUGUGUAGCGGUAAAAUGCGUAGAUAUAUGGAAGAACACCGGUGGCGAAGGCGGCCGUCUGGUCUGUUGCUGACACUGAAGCACGAAAGCGUGGGGAGCAAAUAGGAUUAGAUACCCUAGUAGUCCACGCCGUAAACGAUGAGAACUAGGUGGUGGGGGAAAUAAUUAGGUGCCCAGUUAACGCAAAUAAAUUUUUCCCCCUGGGGAGUAGGCACCCAAGGGGGGAAACUCAAAGGAAUUGACGGGGGCCCGCACAAGCGGUGGAGUAUGUGGUUUAAUUCGAAGCAACGCGAAGAACCUUACCAGGCCUUGACAUCCCUUGCAGAGGUAUAGAGAUAUAUCCGAGGUUAUCAAGGAGACAGGUGGUGCAUGGUUGUCGUCAGCUCGUGUCGUGAGAUGUUGGGUUAAGUCCCGCAACGAGCGCAACCCUUGUGAUAUGUUACUAACAUUGAGUUGAGGACUCAUAUCAGACUGCCGGUGAUAAACCGGAGGAAGGUGGGGAUGACGUCAAAUCAUCAUGCCCCUUAUGGCCUGGGCUACACACGUACUACAAUGGCGUCUACAAAGAGCGGCAAGCCUGUGAAGGCAAGCGAAUCUCAUAAAGGACGUCUCAGUUCGGAUUGAAGUCUGCAACCCGACUUCAUGAAGCUGGAAUCGCUAGUAAUCGCGAAUCAGCAUGUCGCGGUGAAUAAGUUCUCGGGCCUUGCACUCACCGCCCGUCAA
RNAcentral lists this ribosomal RNA (923 nucleotides) under uncultured bacterium. RNAcentral's name for it is "bacterial SSU rRNA". It matches the Rfam family "Bacterial small subunit ribosomal RNA", at positions 470 to 1400 of the family's 1533-position model. The record is from RNAcentral.